This 497-nucleotide ribosomal RNA is filed under the name uncultured bacterium. Its description in RNAcentral is "partial 16S ribosomal RNA". It matches the Rfam family "Bacterial small subunit ribosomal RNA", at positions 28 to 507 of the family's 1533-position model. The record is from RNAcentral.
GAUGAACGCUGGCGGGGUGCCUAAUACAUGCAAGUCGAGCGAACAGACGAGGAGCUUGCUCCUCUGACGUUAGCGGCGGACGGGUGAGUAACACGUGGAUAACCUACCUAUAAGACUGUGAUAACUUCGGGAAACCGGAGCUAAUACCGGAUAAUAUAUUGAACCGCAUGGUUCAAUAGUGAAAGACGGUUUUGCUGUCACUUAUAGAUGGAUCCGCGCCGCAUUAGCUAGUUGGUAAGGUAACGGCUUACCAAGGCGACGAUGCGUAGCCGACCUGAGAGGGUGAUCGGCCACACUGGAACUGAGACACGGUCCAGACUCCUACGGGAGGCAGCAGUAGGGAAUCUUCCGCAAUGGGCGAAAGCCUGACGGAGCAACGCCGCGUGAGUGAUGAAGGUCUUCGGAUCGUAAAACUCUGUUAUUAGGGAAGAACAAAUGUGUAAGUAACUAUGCACGUCUUGACGGUACCUAAUCAGAAAGCCACGGCUAACUACGUG